GGUUCGUUGCACAAACUGCGCAGGGUGGGCUGGUGCGUGUGCUCGUGGGCCCCUGGCUGACCGAUGCAUAGUGCGCACGUCGUGCGUGCCUCAUCUCUGCCUCACGAGCGUGCUUUAGUUUAAUUUUCUCUCUGCCCAAUCUCCAUCGUCCUGCUACUACCGCCGCCGUCGGUGCUGCCUCCGCCUCCGCCUCGUCCUCUUGGUUUCUGAUGCUGCCGCUCCGAGGAAGGUUGCCGCGCCGCUGGUGCUUAGAUUCAUGGAGGGGAACAGCAGCCACACCAUGUGGCAUGCCUCGCCGUGCCGCAUGGUGGCCGAGAUGCGGCCGCCCCAUGUGCCUGCGCCGUCUCAUUGUCUUCAUCGAUAGGAGGCAUCUCUGCCGGCCUCACCCCAUCACCAUCGCCUCCCUUCCCUACGAGAGCGACGGAUCCAAUAGCUUUAGCUCAGAUCGCUUCCAGGUGCUUGUGGCCACCGCCCAACAUGCGCUCACUUGCUGACCUUGAAUUCUAGCCGCAACGGAUCGUCCAUGAGUGCAGCUUCUACUCCUGGCGUCCAGGAGUGUGGUUACGUUUGCUUCUUCUAAACACACUGCCAGUCUCUCACAAUGGAAGAGAUCCUGUUAUGUAGUCUUACAUAAUGGAAAAGAGAAGAUGAUUUUAUGUCAAUUGGACUCUACAGGGAUGGAAAUGAAAACACCAGAGUGAACUCUUUUUCCUCGCUUAAGACAUUAAUUCAUACGACAUCUCAUCAUGUUAUUAUGAUUUUAUACCCUUAUGCUCUUGACAAUAGUUUCUUAGCUUUCCAAAAUUCGGAAGUAAUUUACCUUCCCCUCACAUUUUAAUUGAUUUUGUGCAGACUAAUUUACCUUCCCCUCACAUUGAUGUCUUUGUCAUGUCAUGUUCCACAACGUAUAAUUUCUAUCUUUGCGUGUUAUGAUAGCUCAUCAAGAUAUGAAAUACCUAAAUUUGUCUUGAAAUUAUUUGCUUAGCAAAGCUUUCUUUUAGUAUCAAUGUAUUUUGCAUAGCAUUUCAAUGCACACAGUCCUUUUUACUUAAAUAUGAGCAAGGACAGAGCCAAAACUAGAAUUCAAUUUGUAUUUACUUGGCAUAUGUGAAAUGAUACAAUGUUUAUUUACUCAUUUUUAUUUUACUUGGCAUAUGUGCCCUUUCACUGAUAAAUCUCAAUUUCUUAAAUUUCAUUUUUCGUACCAUUGUAACUCUCUUGGUGCUAAUAGAUGUGCUAUUCGGUCGCCAUGAUGUUGCAGUUACCAAGUAGCCUUGCAAUAAGAGGAUUGAACUAUUCGAUGCUAGUAAUGACCAGAAAUGUGAAAUCAACAACUCAUUCAUUCUGGAAUAAAACAAAUGGACCAAACAGACCAAGCUAUUGAGCAUUCGAAUACGGUGCACUGCAAACUUACACUCUCUUUUGUUGUUCAUUCUUUCAUAAGGUAUUUAUAUAGAGGAAAUUAGGUGCUCCUCUACCUCUCCCUCUCACUCGCAUUUUGAUUGCCUAAUACGUCGAUUUUCUAAAGAUGAUAUGUGCAGCGCCGUCCUGGUUUUAGUUUGAGCAUGCUUGUCUCCAUGGGCCUCUCUAUUUAGGUGUGGAUCUUGACUCAUAGCAACACGAACUUGGAUAUGCUUCUUUUCUCCAUGGGAUCUUUCAAAAAUGAAAAAACAAACCCAGGAAUAAGACUUGGGCAUCAGUUUAAAUAAUGGUUCCCUGCACAUCAGUUUAUUUCCUUGCAUUGGUUCUUUAUGUUAUAAGUAACACCUUUCCUAUUUUGUCAAAGAAAGAAUGGACUCAUUCAUGGACUUCCACCAUAUAUAUUAACACUGGUAUGCUGAUCAACCCAGUAAUCCUCUAAUCCUAAAUUAUUUUCCGAAAAACACUAUGUUUUUCUCUAUAUCAAGGUAGUACUAUGUCAAACUGAUGCUAUUUGGAAGUUCAAACUGAUUUUGUGUUCAUAUUUAUUUAUUGCACGAUUCAUCUGUGUAAAACCAAGAAGAUGCCUCUAAAUUUUUUGUGUAUUUCUGAAAUAUGUUCUUUUUAUCGUCAUCAGAUACAAAAAUUCCGUUUCAUGCUUAUUCCUAAUUUAUUAUUUUCUAAAGCUGUGAAGAAUUGUAGUAGGACUAUGAUUCUCACUUUUUGUGCAUGGAUAUGCAGAUUGACAUUCAAGUUGCUCCAGGAUUUCGGAUUCCUUGCUAAUGAAUAGACAGGUGCAUAAAGUGACAAAUACCCAAUCUGAUUGAUAAGCUGGCUGUCCAUGUAAGCAUCAUAGUGUAUAAGUGGUGAGGAAGUGAAAGCAUCUGUGAGUGCAAGUAGAUAUAUUUUGUCAACCUUUUUUUGGUUACCAAACUCUGGUAUGUAAGGUAUGAGAGGACCAUGUAAAGGUUCUUUUAAAAACGAUUUUCAUUAUGC
Triticum aestivum (bread wheat) is the source of this 2415-nucleotide long non-coding RNA. RefSeq lists it as uncharacterized. The transcript is spliced from 4 exons. Lineage: Eukaryota; Viridiplantae; Streptophyta; Magnoliopsida; Poales; Poaceae. The record is from RefSeq and is a predicted model, not a curated record.